CUACGGGCUUAGCCUAAAACCCAAAGGACUUGACGGUGUCCCAUCCAACUAGAGGAGCCUGUUCUACAAUCGAUAACCCCCGUUAAACCUGACCUCUUUUUGCUUUUUCAGCCUGUAUACCUCCGUCGUAAAUUUACCGCGUGAGUGGAAAAUAGUACUAUUCAAUGUAUCUCACCAAAACGUCAGGUCAAGGUGCAGCCUAUAAAGAGGGAAGCAAUGGGCUACAAUUUCUAACUUAGAACAAACGAAUUACUACAUGAAACCCAGCUAUGAAGGAGGAUUUAGCAGUAAAGAGAAACCAGUGUGUUCUCUUUAAUACGGCCCUGGGACGCGUACACACCGCCCG
This 346-nucleotide ribosomal RNA is filed under the name Fejervarya sp. n. SG-2017. RNAcentral's name for it is "partial 12S ribosomal RNA". It matches the Rfam family "Bacterial small subunit ribosomal RNA", at positions 880 to 1396 of the family's 1533-position model. Lineage: Eukaryota; Metazoa; Chordata; Amphibia; Anura; Dicroglossidae. The record is from RNAcentral.